This 450-nucleotide ribosomal RNA is filed under the name uncultured Enterobacter sp. RNAcentral's name for it is "bacterial SSU rRNA". It matches the Rfam family "Bacterial small subunit ribosomal RNA", at positions 505 to 953 of the family's 1533-position model. Lineage: Bacteria; Pseudomonadati; Pseudomonadota; Gammaproteobacteria; Enterobacterales; Enterobacteriaceae. The record is from RNAcentral.
GUGCCAGCAGCUGCGGUAAUACGGAGGGUGCAAGCGUUAAUCGGAAUUACUGUGCGUAAAGCGCACGCAGGCGGUCUGUCAAGUCGGAUGUGAAAUCCCCGGGCUCAACCUGGGAACUGCAUUCGAAACUGGCAGGCUAGAGUCUUGUAGAGGGGGGUAGAAUUCCAGGUGUAGCGGUGAAAUGCGUAGAGAUCUGGAGGAAUACCGGUGGCGAAGGCGGCCCCCUGGACAAAGACUGACGCUCAGGUGCGAAAGCGUGGGGAGCAAACAGGAUUAGAUACCCUGGUAGUCCACGCCGUAAACGAUGUCGACUUGGAGGUUGUGCCCUUGAGGCGUGGCUUCCGGAGCUAACGCGUUAAGUCGACCGCCUGGGGAGUACGGCCGCAAGGUUAAAACUCAAAUGAAUUGACGGGGGCCCGCACGAAGCGGUGGAGCAUGUGGUUUAAUUCG